GUCCUGGCCCUAAACCGAUGAAUGCUUGGUGUGGCGGGUAUCGAUCCCUGCCGUGCCGAAGCUAACGCAUUAAGCAUUCCGCCCUGGGGAGUACGGUCGCAAGGCUGAAACUCAAAAGGAAUUGACGGGGGCCCGCGACAAGCGGUGGAGCAUGUGGUUUAAUUCGACGCAACGCGAAGAACCUUACCCAGGCUUGAACAGCGAGUGACCACUUCCGAAAGGAAGCUUCCGCAAGGCACUCGUAGAGGUGCUGCAUGGCUGUCGU
This 265-nucleotide ribosomal RNA is filed under the name uncultured bacterium. Its description in RNAcentral is "partial 16S ribosomal RNA". It matches the Rfam family "Bacterial small subunit ribosomal RNA", at positions 793 to 1055 of the family's 1533-position model. The record is from RNAcentral.